UGGGGAAUCUUGGACAAUGGGCGAAAGCCUGAUCCAGCAAUGCCGCGUGAGUGAAGAAGGCCUUCGGGUUGUAAAGCUCUUUCGGACGGGAAGAAAUCGCAUCCGCUAAUACCGGGUGUGGAUGACGGUACCGUAAGAAGAAGCACCGGCUAACUACGUGCCAGCAGCCGCGGUAAUACGUAGGGUGCGAGCGUUAAUCGGAAUUACUGGGCGUAAAGCGUGCGCAGGCGGUUUGUUAAGACAGAUGUGAAAUCCCCGGGCUCAACCUGGGAACUGCAUUUGUGACUGGCAGACUAGAGUUCGGUAGAGGGGGGUGGAAUUCCACGUGUAGCAGUGAAAUGCGUAGAGAUGUGGAGGAACACCAAUGGCGAAGGCAGCCCCCUGGGCCUGAACUGACGCUCAUGCACGAAAGCGUGGGGAGCAAACAGG
RNAcentral lists this ribosomal RNA (429 nucleotides) under uncultured bacterium. RNAcentral's name for it is "bacterial SSU rRNA". It matches the Rfam family "Bacterial small subunit ribosomal RNA", at positions 355 to 776 of the family's 1533-position model. The record is from RNAcentral.